RNAcentral lists this long non-coding RNA (6961 nucleotides) under Gossypium barbadense (sea-island cotton). Its description in RNAcentral is "long non-coding RNA (GBAR_LNC020862)". Lineage: Eukaryota; Viridiplantae; Streptophyta; Magnoliopsida; Malvales; Malvaceae. The record is from RNAcentral.
GAAUGAAAUGAAUAUAUAUAACAUGAAAUAAUAAAUUAAACAAUGUCCAGUGAAUUAAACAUAACAUGACAUAGCUAAUUAAAUUACAAAUAUUCUUGAAUUAAACAACCAAUAGGUCAAUACGAAAACUAAUUGAAAGUAAUUACAUAAAGUUUUUCUUAAAAUUCAAAAUGUAAAAACCUAAACAAUCAUCAAUUGCUUUGGGCAACCCGAUGAGUAUCAGUUACACGUGAGAGGGUUGAAGUUGGUUAUUAUCAUCAUCAUCAUUUGCAUCUUCAUCUAUUUCCUUAAAGAAAAUUUAUUUAUGAAAAUGGUUUUGUUGCAUUUCAAAAAAUUUCAUAAAGCUUGAAUCUUUGUUAUGAUGUAUAUGGUUAUAAAUUUUAUCAAAUAUAAUACAUGUGUUUCUAGACUAACAAGACUUGUUAAUUCUUGAAUUUCAACCAAGCGAUCCUCGAACCAUCGGUUAUUAAUAGAGUGGGCUUUUAUUGCAAACCAAACGUAGAAUGAAAACUAAAUCAUUCUAAUGGGGAAAGCUCACUUUCUCUAUGGGAAAUCAAAAUUGAAAGUAAUAUCUCAAGUAUUCAUGAAAAAUAGAUUUUAUUUUGUAGCUAAAUAAAUUUUCCUAAUUUUCAGUGGAAUAACAUUGCCUCAAAUGUGUGUAUUCAGCUAUCUCAUAUUUCCUUCAUGUAGAGAAAAAUCACAAGAUUUUUACUUGAACAAGAGAGAAAAAAUAAUGUUUUAAUAAAUAAAUAAAUAACAAGAGUCCUACUAGGACUUAAUGCACUAGACAACACAUACCAUAUUUCCCGGGCACAGAUUGUUGCCCACCCCUAGUGUUAUUGGCCUUAUUGAGUCUUUCAUAUAUUAGGUACAAUUAUAUGUUCAGUUCAAUUUUAAAGCAAACUUAUAUAAUUAUCCAAUUCAAUAAACAAUUUUCUAUUUCUAAAAUAUUAUUUAUCUAAUUAAUUCAAAUAAAUUAUUUUCACAAUCCAAUUUUAAUUCUUUCAAAAUCAUGAUAAUUUUAUCGCGCUAGAAUCCAUGAAUAAAUAAAUUUAAUUUUUUUGUUCAUUAAAAUUGUGAUGACUAAUUAAUUUAAUUUUUAUUUUGAACUCAAUUAUUCAAUUACAAUCAAUUAAAUGAUAAUUAAAAAAUUAAAUUAAAUUUUAAAACAUCUUUUGUUUCUUUCGAGAAAAUGAAUUUACUACGGAUAGAAAAACAUGCAAUCUAUUUUUAUCUAAUAGAAAAAUAAUAUUCUAGUCUAACUAGAAGAGGGGGGCUGCACACUAGUUAAAUAUAUUAGGGUUGUCGCCCCUCAUAUGUAAUAUAAGGGAAAUUGGGUCUCUCUUGUAUUGAGUUUAAUUAUAUGUGCUUCUUGGACUUUUAACCCAAUACUUUAUAAUUUAUUCUCAAGUCUUGGUGUUUGUCGGCUUCCAGAUACUCUUCUUGUUUAAUCUUGGAGGCGGUGCAAGUAUGGAGACUGAAUUAGCAAACAUUUCGAUCAAUGAAGAAGAAGAAGAAGUCUUGAUAGUCCAGGUAGAUCCAUCUACGCAAACAGAAGUAACAGAUUAUCAACUUGUAGGUUGCUUUUUAACAGCGAGUAUAAUUAAUUUUCUGGCCAUGAAGAGCACUCUGGCUAACUUAUGGCAUCCUGUCUGUGGGGUGCAAAUUAGAGAUCUAGGGGAGAAAAGGUAUCUUUUCAAGUUUUUUCAUCAUAUGGAUAUGGAGAGAGUUUUAAAAGGUCUACCGUGGACUUUUAAUAACCACUUAUUAAUUCUAUGCAAAUUGAAGAGGGCUGAAGAUCCAUUGAAUAUACCCCUUGUUUUUGUUCCCUUUUGGGUACAAGUUCAUGAUGUUCCAACUGGUUUAUUUUCUGAGAAUUUAGCGAUACAAUUGGGUAAUUUUAUUGGAGUUCUCCUAGAGUAUGAUGCUUCAAUUCUGGGUAAGGAAAAUAGCAAUUACAUGAGGAUUAGAGUGCAGAUUGAUGUUAGGAAGCCAUUGAGAAGGAAAAAGCAAGUUAUGAGUGGUGGGUUGUGUUCGUAUGUUAAAUUUAAAUAUGAACGUUUGUCAUUGUUUUGUUUCUUCUGUGGUCGUUUGGGGCAUAAUGAUUCCUAUUGUGAGGCAAGAAUGAUGAUGGGAGCAGAAAUCAUUGAGAUGGGUUGGGAUUUAUCUUUGAGAGCCCCAUCUCGUAGAGCUCUUGCAACGAGUAGUAUUUGGUUACGAGAAGAGGGAGAAGGUAAAAGUGAAGGUAAUUGGAUGGGGCACAAAUCGUUGGGGAUGAGUUCAAGGGAUGAGAAUUUGAAUAAGAGUAAGACGAACUCUAUUGAUUCAAUAUUGGGGUUUAGUCUAGAAAAGGGAAGCCUAUCUUUUGACCAAGGGAAGGAAAAACUUGAAUUCCUUCAAGGAAAAGUGGCUAUGGAGUAUGAUGUGGAAGACGUAACUUUAGUAGGGGAGGAAGGGAAAAAGCGUAAUAGGGUUGAGAUGGAAGAUACUACCUUUUUAACAUCGGCGGCUGCCAAGAGGCUAGCCGACCGGGAGCAAUAAAAAUUUUAAGUUGGAACGUCCGUGGUUUGGGGAGACAACGGACGGUUAGAAGACUUCAAUAUUUUCUAAAGAAAAAUAAUCCCCAAAUCAUCUUCUUCAUGGAGACAAAACUUUGUAAAAAAACAGAUGGAAAUUGUUCGUAGAAGAUGUGGUUUCCUAUAUGGAAUUGAAGUUGAAGCUGAAGGUACAAGAGGAGGAUUGUGUUUAACAUGGAGAACCGACAUGGAUAUAAUGCUACGUAGUUAUUCGAAAAGACAUAUUAAUGUGUUAAUAGAUGAUAAAGAGAAAGGAGUUAAUUGGAGAUUUACAGAAUUUUACGGUUCCCCUUAUGUACAAGAAAGAUACGAUUCAUGGGAUGUUUUGAAGAGAUUGGUAGGGGGUGACGUAUUGCCAUGGCUGGUGUGUGGUGACUUUAACGAAAUCAUGUAUGGAUUCGAGAAGAAAGGAGGGCUACCUAGAGAUGAAAGAAGGAUGGAGUUAUUUCAAAAAACGCUUGAAGAUUGUCAUUUAUUCGACGUGGGAUAUGAAGGCAACUGGUUCACUUGGGAGAGAGGUAAUUUACCGGAGACAAAUAUCCAAGAACGACUUGAUAGAGGAGUUGCUAACACAGAGUGGUUCAGGUUUUUUCCCGAGGUGGUAGUCCAACAUCUUACUCAUACAUUUUCAUAUCACUGCCCACUUCUUUUAGACACAAGGAAAGAUGAAGAUCGAGUUUGGAAUAGUAAUUUCAGACUUGAAGCCUGGUGGCUAUUGGAGGAGUCUUUUAUUUGUGAGGUUAAGUUUUUGUGGGAGAAUUCUUCAGGGGAAUUGCCACAGAGACUGGAGAGACUUAAAGAAGGUCUGAAGGAAUGGGCUAGGAGAAUUCAAUUCUACAGGAAAAGAUCUAAAAGAGUUCUGACAGAAAAGCUUGAAGAGUUGUUUGUGGCGGAAAGGGAUGAUAAAGACUCUAGCUGAACUGAUUGAUACAAAAAUUAGUUUAAAUUUUGAGAUUGAAAAAGACGAAUGUUAUUGGGAACAGAAGGCUAGAACAAAUUGGCUGAAGUUUGGAGAUAAAAAUAAAAAAUUCUUCCACAGUCAAGCUUCACAACGGAAGAAGAGGAAUUUUAUUCGCAAAUUAAAGAAUGAAGAAGGGGACGAGAUGGUGUCUUUGCAGGAUAUUGAGGUUACGGCACGGGCUUACUUUCAAAAUCUAUUUUCAGCAGAUAGAAGGGGGAAUUUUGAUCAUAUAUUAUCAGGGAUUGAGCAGUGUAUUCAUGAGAAGGAGAAUCAAAGACUUACAGCUCCAUAUUCCAAGGAAGAAGUUACAGAAGUAGUCUUUGACAUGGGCCCAACAAAGGCACCAGGGGAGGAUGGCUUUCCAGCAGCUUUUUACCAGAAAUGUUGGCAGAUAGUGGGAGAGGAUUUAAUUUCUUAUUGUCUUCGGAUGCUGAACGGUGAAAUAGAGAUUAGUCAAAUUAAUUAUACAAAUAUAGUGCUUAUCCCCAAAGUUGAGAGCCCAUUAAAUAUGUCGCAGUUUAGGCCUAUCAGUCUAUGCAAUGUUCUUUACAAAAUUUUAGCAAAAGUAAUUGCUAAUAGGCUCCGGUUAGUUAUUGAGAAAUGUAUUGAUGAAGCCCAAAGCGCUUUUGUGCCAGGGAGAUUGAUAUCAGACAAUGUAUUGUUAGCCUAUGAGGUACUGCACAAGUUAAAACAGAAGAAACUGGGGAAAAAAGAUUUUAUGGCUGUGAAACUUGAUAUGAGUAAAGCUUACGAUAGGGUUGAAUGGUGUUUUAUUGAAGAAAUCAUGGUCAAGAUGGGGUUUGACCUUAACUAGGUAAAGGCCAUUAUGAAAUGCGUAUCCUCAGUUUCCUACUCAGUAAUCAUUAAUGGGUUUAGAGGAGUGAAUUUUUCACCAACCAGAGGUCUUAGACAAGGAGACCCGCUAAGUCUGUUUUUAUUUCUUUUGUGUGGAGAGGGCUUGUCGAGUCUAUUAAGAUUGGCAAUGAAGAGAGGUAUUUCAAAAGGUAUCAAGAUUAGCAGGAAUGGACCACAUGUCUCCCAUAUACUAUCUGCUAAUGAUUGCAUAUUAUUUGGAGAGGCAACAAGGAAAGGUGCUAUCAUUUUUAAGGAAAUUCUAGAAGAAUAUAAAUCCUGCGUAAAUUUUGAAAAAUCAUCAGUAUUUUUUAGCAAAAACACACCGGAAAAGGACAGAAGUCAAGUUGUCAAUUUAUUGAGGGUUCGUAGGUCGAAUGAUCCAAAAAGAUACUUGGGGUUGCCAGAUAUAGUGGGACGAAAAAAGAAAGAAGCUUUUCAGAAUCUGAAUGAUCGUUUCAAGAAAAGUAUUGAUAUCUGGAGCAUCAGGUUUUUAUCUCAAGGAGGCAAAGAAGUUUUCAUUAAGGCCAUACUUCAGGCUAUUCCUACCUAUUCAAUGGCAUGUUUUUUAUUACCUAGAGCUUUAUGUAAAGAAUUGGAGAGUAUUGUCGCUAAAUUUUGGUGGCAAAAAGGAAAAGGCAAUAGAGGGAUUCAUUGGUGUACGUGGUAUAAUCUAUGUUCUUUAAAGGAAUGUGGAGGUUUAGGUUUUCGAGAUUUUAGCCAAUUCAAUAUUGCGUUACUAGCUAAACAAUGAUGGCGUCUCAUUAAUUUUCCAAAUUCAUUAUUAGCCAGAGUUCUUAAAGCAAAAUAUUUUCCGUUUUCUAGUUUCGUAUCUGCAGAAUUGGGAACUUUACCUUCUUAUACCUGGAAGAGUAUAUGGGUAGCGAAAGGUCUUCCCCAAAAAGGGUUGAGCUGGAGGGUGGGCAGAGGGGAUAGAAUUCUCCAUUUGGGAAGAUUGCUGGAUUCAGGGGAUCGACAAAAUUGGUGCACAAAAUAGACCAGACACAGGUGAAUUAAAGUUAGUUUCGGAUCUUAUCAAUUUAACUAGCAGGAAAUGGAGAAGGGAUGUGAUUAAUAGUACGUUUCAAGAGGAAAUUGCUAGGAAAAUUCUUCAGACUCCCCUAGCAGAGUUUGAACAUGAGGACUUUCAGGUGUGGAAAGGGGAACUUUCUGGCGAGUUUUCGGUCCGCAGUGCCUAUAAACUAUUACAAGAUGCUAAUCAGAUCCCUAAUGAUUAUUUAUUACAGAUCGAAUUAAAAGAAUUUUACAAGAAACUUUGGAGCUUACAGUUGCCCUCAAAAAUUACAUUUACAAUCUGGCGAAUUUCAUGGGAUUUUAUUCCUAAUUUUGCUAAUCUUAGAUACAGGAGGGUUACUGUCAAUGAUAGAUGUCCUCGAUGUUGUUCGGCGGUUGAAGAAAGUGUCCAUGUUUUUCGCGAAUGCCCUCUGACAAUUGAAGUUUGGCAACAGUUAAAUCUUUCAUGGGUUAUGAAUUAUGCGAAUCAAAAUAUAUGGGAAUGGCUUACCUGGGUCUUCAAGAGAAGCGACAACGGUCAGUGUCUACUUUUCUGCUAUGCUCUAUGGAUGUUAUGGUACUCCAGAAAUCAAUUAGUACACCAGAGAAGAAAUACAACAGGUAGAGAUUUAGCACAUAAUAUUCAAAGACAUCUGGCAGAAUUUGAAGGUUUAAAAAACUUGAAAAAUAGUGAAAGUAUAAACAGAAGUCAUAAAACACAAGAAGGCAUACCAAGUACGAGAAUCUAUUUUGAUGCAGCGUUCGACAGUAGAACUUUCAGUUCAGCGACAGGUUUGGUAGGGUGGGAUUUGAGGGGAAACUUAAUGGCGUUAAAGACGGUUAUCCACAGAGAUGUCCCCUCACCUUUUGCAGCAGAGGCUUAUGCGUGCCUGGAAGGUGCAAAAUUAGGGAGUUCACUUAGAAUCAAAUCAGUCAGACUCAUGGGGGAUUCAAAAUCAGUUAUAAAAAAAUGUCAAGCAACUUCUACAGACAAGUCAGUUAUCGGUGCCAUUAUCAGCGAUAUUCAGAAGAAGAAAGCAGAUUUUCAAGAAGUUAUUUUUUAGUUUAUUCACAAAUCGGAGAACACAUAUGCCCAUAGAUUAGCAAAGACCGCGCUCGAGAAAGAAGAAGAUACUUAUCUGAUGGGAGAAGAUCUGGAAGGUCACGCCUUUGCCUCGGCAGAUACUUGGCUUAAAGAACCAGAUUGAAGGAGAAAUGUGCAGAUGAGUAAUGAAAGUCGAUAGCAAAAUGAAAGUUAAAAGAUUUUGGGGAUAGCUAUCGACAAGAUGUUCUGGAGCAUUGGAAAUGACUAGUCAUCAGAAUUUAUGGCUUCCAGACGUUUCUUGAUUUGACUGGGAUGGUUUUUAUUUAUCUUAUUUUAUUGUUUGUUUAAGUCUUUCCAUUUUCUGGAGAGUUUUGUUGCUGGAUUGGCCUUUAGGUUGUUUCUCUAUUUUUUUGUUUUGUUUUUUCAGGUCUUGUCUUUGCGAUUUCAUUUGGAUUGGGCUUUAUUGGGUCUGAUUUUUGUUUAUUUUUAUUCUAUUUUUUCAAUUUAAUAAAA